This 2315-nucleotide long non-coding RNA is filed under the name Homo sapiens (human). RNAcentral describes it as "HSALNT0324263". Lineage: Eukaryota; Metazoa; Chordata; Mammalia; Primates; Hominidae. The record is from RNAcentral.
GUAUUUAGAGCUAAGAGCAUUCCUUUACCAUUUAAUGGAAGAACCCAUGUUAUAUAACAAUUCCUCUAUGAUUUGUUGAGCCCUUGUUUAAAUCCUGUAUCAUGAACUUUUCGUGUGGUAUGUUUUGUCUCCCCAAACAAGGCAAUAAACUUUUUGAGACAGAAACUAUAUUGUAAAUUUUUUUUGGAUCGCUAAAGUGCCUUAUAUAUCAUGUACAUUUGAAUGCUAUUUGCUCAUGUGAUUUGAAUUCCAACUCCUUGACCCACCUAAGGUCAAGGAGAAGAGAGAGAAAUGAUAUCAAAAGGGCAGGGGGAAGAAAUAAGGGUUCCUAAGCAGCUUGUACCUUACCCCCAACUUUCCAAAUGUAAUUGACAGCCAAAAAUCUAAAUCAAGAGCCCAGUUUUCUUAUUCAAAUUGUCUGUCACUCAUGAGCACUACUCACUGCACCAAAGGGAGCAUUUUAUUCUCAAACUAGCAAUAGAGGUUGAAAGUUAUUGUUUGUUUGUUAUUUUAGAAUUAAUGUAUUUUCAAUAUGGUACCAAAUAACUGUGUAAGGAGUGUAUUAGCCAGCUUAAUCAAUAAACUUCAGCAAGGAUCGGAUGUUGGGGACUGCACAGCAGCAAUUGAUCCACUGCAGAGCUUUCUGUGGUGCAGUGUGAGUGGGACACUGGAACAGCAUGUGUAAUAAUCUUAGCUGUUAUACUCUGAUGGGUCCUAUGAUGCUACGGAAUAUGUGAGUCUUUUCACACCUAUGAUUGGAGCCACGUGGAUCCUGAAUGCAGACCCGCUCUCAGUUCUUCCUGUUUCCACUGUUUCCAAACACACAGUGUUGUCGGGAUUAUGAGCAAAUUUAAGCCUAUGGUUUGAUGGUGAUGAAAUGAAGCAGGAUUUUACAAUUUGUUCAUAAUUGGUAUACACAGUGAACACUUAAAAAAUCAUGCUUUGCCAUCCUUUUCUUUUUGCCCAUGAGGAAUAGUUUCGAAAGAGUUCUUAAGAACUUGCUGUGAGUUACAUGUCUAGUGAGUGGCAGGGCAGGGGUGCUAACCUGGGUCUGUGGGACACUCCGGCGUCCAGCUUUAGUCCACUGCACGUAGUGUCUUUCUGCAACAUGCAGAUCUGAACAGAGGGUGGUAUUUGCACAUAUCCACGUAAGUGGGGACAUUUGAACAGUUAACUGUUUCCCCAGUGAGUUCUCUUAGCAACCAACCUUCCAGUGUUUGGUGUUUAUAGAUGGAAAAUGAAGCCAUAGCCCCAUGACAGAGCAGCAGGAGAGCAACAGUCCCCAAAGAAUAACUUCUCAUUUCUGUUAAUAAGGAGCCUAAUGGGUGGACGUUUAGUCAGCAUGCAUUUUCUCUCUUUGGUUGCAUUAAGAGCUGUGGUCUCUAUUUCUGCAUUUGUUUUCUCUAAAUGAGCAACUGAAACUAUUUCAUUAGAUCCAUAAACUCCUGGCAAACUAGUCUAUCUGGCCCAUUCUGCUUUUGCACCAAAAUUAUUACCUUAAACACUAAUGCAUACAUUGAACUAAUGUAUCUUUACUGUUUCUUCUCUCCAUAAAAUUCUACUGGUCUAAAAGUCCAUAUACCCUAAGCCUGGGCGACAGAGUGAGACUCUGUGUCAAAAAAGAACAAAAAGAAAAAGAAGAAACUCUAACCAGAUAAGAGAGACUACGUGGAUCCAAAGAAAUCCAUCGCCCUUCUGAAAAACACCCCUGAAACCAUGCCUUCUGGUGAUGUCCGCGGAGGACUUUGAGACACAACUACGAGUGUUUGAAUUCUGUCGCGAGGAAGUCUGAAUGGUAGGAGCCAGGUUUUCACAUUCUGGUCUUUAAUGCAUAGUGGCCAUUCAUUCCAUUAGGCUUCUUAUGUCAUGACAUAAUUUCAUCUCUGAAUGUUGGACCAUUUGGUGGACUUGGACAUUGUCAGUUCAUCAAACAGUUUUGAAUUUGUGGAAAGUUCUCAUUCUGAGAUUCUGAACAUUCAAAGAUUAAUCCGAUGUGGCAGGCUCAUUAGUGCCACCACCUGCCUGCAUGGUUUGCAAGAUAACAUCACUUCAUUGUUUGAUUUGAGCUAAAGAAGAUUAAUGAUCUGAACAAUGAUAAUUUAUCAAUAUUCUUCUAUGAAAUUCAACCAAAACCAUAGAUCUCGUUUCGUGAUGCAGAGUCUAAAAUAGUCAAUGGACUAUUUCUAGCCCAACAGUACACUGUAGACUAGAGUAAUAUGCUGAUUUAGUGAAACAGAAACCUGGAUCCAAAACCCACAAAGUACUCUUGGGGACCCUGGAAAAGCCUGCAUGGACCUCCUACAGUUCAAGUUCCA